This is a small nucleolar RNA of Pistacia vera, 107 nucleotides long. The record is from RefSeq and is a predicted model, not a curated record. NCBI's taxonomy places the organism in Eukaryota, Viridiplantae, Streptophyta, Magnoliopsida, Sapindales, Anacardiaceae.
AUUUGAUGAUGAGGGCAACUAGCACAUAAUUUCUUGAAUCACUCCCAAUACUCAUAUAAAUUAUCCUUAUUGUACUGUCAAAUACAACAAAUUUCUUUCCUAAUAAG